UUUUCCCGGCCGUUUCUAGGCAGCCCUCCCCCUUCACUAACUCGGACCCCCCCCUUUCCUCCUUCUCCUCCCUUUUCCUCCCUCCUCCCCCGCCUAUUCCUCCCUCCUCCCCCCGCGUCUGGGCUGAGUGAUCAAAAUAGAGGAAGAUGGUUGUCGCCGCAAUCCAGGGCUUUGCAAGGCGCGGUUUAAUGGGCCGCCUGUCAGCUUCCUGCUCGCAGGAAGAGGUGACAAGCCGAGCGAGCCGGGAAGAGCUUGGGGCCCCGCGGGCUGCACCCCGCGCCUGGACCCCAGCCUCCCACCUCCCCUGGGGUGCGCCUUCUAGAUCGCGCGGUGGAGACGCCAAAACGGACAAGGGCUGCUUUUUCUCUCCCUCCCCCCUCCUUUAAAACAAAGCAGCGAUUCAUUCCCUCUCCCCCAGCGGCGCGGUUGGGUGGAAUGGGCAAGCGAGAAGGCCGUUUUCCUAGCCCCCGCCUGUCGGUCCCUCUCUGAAACGCGGUGUCAGAUGGUUACUGAUUAAUAUUUUGCAGAGGCCGCGGCGGCGGGCAGCGGCAAAAUCCUUUCUGGGUUGAAUCGCCGGGAGCUGCCCGCGGCAACCUACUUGGCUGCGGAAGUGCUCUGAGGGGCCGCCCUGGAGGCCGCGCACCCUCUCUCCGCAGCCCUGCAAGGACCGGUGCCCAGCGCGGCAUUACGUACUCUCAAAAGGAAGCUUGGUGGGGCAGAAGUCCUUGCCGAUUCUACCUCGGAGAGCAACCGCAGUGAUUAGAUUUUAAUUAAAAUACGAGAAGCCCGCUCUUUCA
Manis javanica (Malayan pangolin) is the source of this 797-nucleotide long non-coding RNA. RefSeq lists it as uncharacterized. The record is from RefSeq and is a predicted model, not a curated record. NCBI's taxonomy places the organism in Eukaryota, Metazoa, Chordata, Mammalia, Pholidota, Manidae.